AUUGAACGCUGGCGGCAGGCCUAACACAUGCAAGUCGAGCGGAUGAAGGGAGCUUGCUCCUGGAUUCAGCGGCGGACGGGUGAGUAAUGCCUAGGAAUCUGCCUGGUAGUGGGGGAUAACGUCCGGAAACGGGCGCUAAUACCGCAUACGUCCUGAGGGAGAAAGUGGGGGAUCUUCGGACCUCACGCUAUCAGAUGAGCCUAGGUCGGAUUAGCUAGUUGGUGGGGUAAAGGCCUACCAAGGCGACGAUCCGUAACUGGUCUGAGAGGAUGAUCAGUCACACUGGAACUGAGACACGGUCCAGACUCCUACGGGAGGCAGCAGUGGGGAAUAUUGGACAAUGGGCGAAAGCCUGAUCCAGCCAUGCCGCGUGUGUGAAGAAGGUCUUCGGAUUGUAAAGCACGUUAAGUUGGGAGGAAGGGCAGUAAGGUAAUACCUUGCUGUUUUGACGUUACCAACAGAAUAAGCACCGGCUAACUUCGUG
This 484-nucleotide ribosomal RNA is filed under the name uncultured bacterium. Its description in RNAcentral is "partial 16S ribosomal RNA". It matches the Rfam family "Bacterial small subunit ribosomal RNA", at positions 30 to 507 of the family's 1533-position model. The record is from RNAcentral.